UACGAAGGGUGCAAGCGUUAAUCGGAAUUACUGGGCGUAAAGCGCGCGUAGGUGGUUCAGUAAGUUGGAAGUGAAAUCCCCGGGCUCAACCUGGGAACUGCUUUCAAAACUGCUGAGCUAGAGUACGGUAGAGGGUGGUGGAAUUUCCUGUGUAGCGGUGAAAUGCGUAGAUAUAGGAAGGAACACCAGUGGCGAAGGCGACCACCUGGACUGAUACUGACACUGAGGAGCGAAAGCGUGGGGAGCAAACAGG
This 253-nucleotide ribosomal RNA is filed under the name uncultured bacterium. RNAcentral's name for it is "partial 16S ribosomal RNA". It matches the Rfam family "Bacterial small subunit ribosomal RNA", at positions 524 to 776 of the family's 1533-position model. The record is from RNAcentral.